GGGUUGUGAGGUUAAGCGACUAAGCGUACACGGUGGAUGCCCUGGCAGUCAGAGGCGAUGAAGGACGUGCUAAUCUGCGAAAAGCGUCGGUAAGGUGAUAUGAACCGUUAUAACCGGCGAUGUCCGAAUGGGGAAACCCAGUGUGAUUCGUCACACUAUCGUUAACUGAAUACAUAGGUUAACGAGGCGAACCGGGGGAACUGAAACAUCUAAGUACCCCGAGGAAAAGAAAUCAACCGAGAUUCCCCCAGUAGCGGCGAGCGAACGGGGAGCAGCCCAGAGUCUGAAUCAGCUUGUGUGUUAGUGGAACGGUCUGGAAAGUCCGACGGUACAGGGUGAUAGUCCCGUACACCAAAAUGCACAGGCUGUGAACUCGAAGAGUAGGGCGGGACACGUGGUAUCCUGUCUGAAUAUGGGGGGACCAUCCUCCAAGGCUAAAUACUCCUGACUGACCGAUAGUGAACCAGUACCGUGAGGGAAAGGCGAAAAGAACCCCGGCGAGGGGAGUGAAAAAGAACCUGAAACCGUGUACGUACAAGCAGUGGGAGCACCUUCGGGUGUGACUGCGUACCUUUUGUAUAAUGGGUCAGCGACUUAUAUUCUGUAGCAAGGUUAACCGUAUAGGGGAGCCGCAGGGAAACCGAGUCUUAACUGGGCGUUAAGUUGCAGGGUAUAGACCCGAAACCCGGUGAUCUAGCCAUGGGCAGGUUGAAGGUUGGGUAACACUAACUGGAGGACCGAACCGACUAAUGUUGAAAAAUUAGCGGAUGACUUGUGGCUGGGGGUGAAAGGCCAAUCAAACCGGGAGAUAGCUGGUUCUCCCCGAAAGCUAUUUAGGUAGCGCCUCGUGAACUCAUCUUCGGGGGUAGAGCACUGUUUCGGCUAGGGGGUCAUCCCGACUUACCAACCCGAUGCAAACUACGAAUACCGAAGAAUGUUAUCACGGGAGACACACGGCGGGUGCUAACGUCCGUCGUGAAGAGGGAAACAACCCAGACCGCCAGCUAAGGUCCCAAAGUCAUGGUUAAGUGGGAAACGAUGUGGGAAGGCACAGACAGCCAGGAUGUUGGCUUAGAAGCAGCCAUCAUUUAAAGAAAGCGUAAUAGCUCACUGGUCGAGUCGGCCUGCGCGGAAGAUGUAACGGGGCUAAACCAUGCACCGAAGCUGCGGCAGCGACACUAUGUGUUGUUGGGUAGGGGAGCGUUCUGUAAGCCUGCGAAGGUGACCUGUGAGGGUUGCUGGAGGUAUCAGAAGUGCGAAUGCUGACAUAAGUAACGAUAAAGCGGGUGAAAAGCCCGCUCGCCGGAAGACCAAGGGUUCCUGUCCAACGUUAAUCGGGGCAGGGUGAGUCGACCCCUAAGGCGAGGCCGAAAGGCGUAGUCGAUGGGAAACAGGUUAAUAUUCCUGUACUUGGUGUUACUGCGAAGGGGGGACGGAGAAGGCUAUGUUAGCCGGGCGACGGUUGUCCCGGUUUAAGCAUGUAGGCUGGUUAUCCAGGCAAAUCCGGAUAAUCAAGGCUGAGGUGUGAUGACGAGGCACUACGGUGCUGAAGUAACAAAUGCCCUGCUUCCAGGAAAAGCCUCUAAGCAUCAGGUAACACGAAAUCGUACCCCAAACCGACACAGGUGGUCAGGUAGAGAAUACCAAGGCGCUUGAGAGAACUCGGGUGAAGGAACUAGGCAAAAUGGUGCCGUAACUUCGGGAGAAGGCACGCUGGUGUGUAGGUGAAGCCCCUGCGGGUGGAGCUGAGACCAGUCGAAGAUACCAGCUGGCUGCAACUGUUUAUUAAAAACACAGCACUGUGCAAACACGAAAGUGGACGUAUACGGUGUGACGCCUGCCCGGUGCCGGAAGGUUAAUUGAUGGGGUUAUCCGUAAGGAGAAGCUCUUGAUCGAAGCCCCGGUAAACGGCGGCCGUAACUAUAACGGUCCUAAGGUAGCGAAAUUCCUUGUCGGGUAAGUUCCGACCUGCACGAAUGGCGUAAUGAUGGCCAGGCUGUCUCCACCCGAGACUCAGUGAAAUUGAACUCGCUGUGAAGAUGCAGUGUACCCGCGGCAAGACGGAAAGACCCCGUGAACCUUUACUAUAGCUUGACACUGAACAUUGAGCCUUGAUGUGUAGGAUAGGUGGGAGGCUUUGAAGCGUGGACGCCAGUCUGCGUGGAGCCAACCUUGAAAUACCACCCUUUAAUGUUUGAUGUUCUAACGUUGGCCCCUUAUCGGGGUUGCGGACAGUGUCUGGUGGGUAGUUUGACUGGGGCGGUCUCCUCCCAAAGCGUAACGGAGGAGCACGAAGGUUAGCUAAUCCUGGUCGGACAUCAGGAGGUUAGUGCAAUGGCAUAAGCUAGCUUGACUGCGAGCGUGACGGCGCGAGCAGGUGCGAAAGCAGGUCAUAGUGAUCCGGUGGUUCUGAAUGGAAGGGCCAUCGCUCAACGGAUAAAAGGUACUCCGGGGAUAACAGGCUGAUACCGCCCAAGAGUUCAUAUCGACGGCGGUGUUUGGCACCUCGAUGUCGGCUCAUCACAUCCUGGGGCUGAAGUAGGUCCCAAGGGUAUGGCUGUUCGCCAUUUAAAGUGGUACGCGAGCUGGGUUUAGAACGUCGUGAGACAGUUCGGUCCCUAUCUGCCGUGGGCGCUGGAGAAUUGAGGGGGGCUGCUCCUAGUACGAGAGGACCGGAGUGGACGCAUCACUGGUGUUCGGGUUGUCAUGCCAAUGGCACUGCCCGGUAGCUAAAUGCGGAAGAGAUAAGUGCUGAAAGCAUCUAAGCACGAAACUUGCCCCGAGAUGAGUUCUCCCUGAGACUUUAAGUCUCCUGAAGGAACGUUAAAGACGAUGACGUUGAUAGGCCGGGUGUGUAAGCGCAGCGAUGCGUUGAGCUAACCGGUACUAAUGAACCGUGAGGCUUAACCUUACAACGCCGAAG
This 2923-nucleotide ribosomal RNA is filed under the name Klebsiella quasipneumoniae subsp. similipneumoniae. RNAcentral describes it as "bacterial LSU rRNA". It matches the Rfam family "Bacterial large subunit ribosomal RNA". The record is from RNAcentral. Lineage: Bacteria; Pseudomonadati; Pseudomonadota; Gammaproteobacteria; Enterobacterales; Enterobacteriaceae. RNAcentral also lists the same sequence under 1 other name.